Molecule: ribosomal RNA, 505 nt
Filed under: uncultured bacterium
Lineage: Bacteria
Description: partial 16S ribosomal RNA
Rfam family: Bacterial small subunit ribosomal RNA
Source: RNAcentral
GACGAACGCUGGCGGCGUGCCUAAUACAUGCAAGUAGAACGCACAGUUUAUACCGUAGCUUGCUACACCAUAAACUGUGAGUUGCGAACGGGUGAGUAACGCGUAGGUAACCUGCCUGGUAGCGGGGGAUAACUAUUGGAAACGAUAGCUAAUACCGCAUAAUAUUAAUUAUUGCAUGAUAAUUGAUUGAAAGAUGCAAUUGCAUCACUACCAGAUGGACCUGCGUUGUAUUAGCUAGUAGGUGAGGUAACGGCUCACCUAGGCGACGAUACAUAGCCGACCUGAGAGGGUGAUCGGCCACACUGGGACUGAGACACGGCCCAGACUCCUACGGGAGGCAGCAGUAGGGAAUCUUUGGCAAUGGACGAAAGUCUGACCGAGCAACGCCGCGUGAGUGAAGAAGGUUGUCGGAUCGUAAAGCUCUGUUGUAAGAGAAGAACGGGUGUGAGAGUGGAAAGUUCACACUGUGACGGUAUCUUACCAGAAAGGGACGGCUAACUACGUG